This 880-nucleotide ribosomal RNA is filed under the name uncultured bacterium. RNAcentral describes it as "bacterial SSU rRNA". It matches the Rfam family "Bacterial small subunit ribosomal RNA", at positions 9 to 873 of the family's 1533-position model. The record is from RNAcentral.
AGAGUUUGAUCCUGGCUCAGGAUGAACGCUAGCUACAGGCUUAACACAUGCAAGUCGAGGGGAAACGAUAGAGAAAGCUUGCUUUUUCUAGGCGUCGACCGGCGCACGGGUGAGUAACGCGUAUCCAACCUGCCCACCACUUGGGGAUAACCUUGCGAAAGUAAGACUAAUACCCAAUGACGUCUCUAGAAGACAUCUGAAAGGGAUUAAAGAUUUAUCGGUGAUGGAUGGGGAUGCGUCUGAUUAGCUUGUUGGCGGGGUAACGGCCCACCAAGGCUACGAUCAGUAGGGGUUCUGAGAGGAAGGUCCCCCACAUUGGAACUGAGACACGGUCCAAACUCCUACGGGAGGCAGCAGUGAGGAAUAUUGGUCAAUGGGCGAGAGCCUGAACCAGCCAAGUAGCGUGCAGGAUGACGGCCCUAUGGGUUGUAAACUGCUUUUAUAAGGGAAUAAAGUGAGUCUCGUGAGGCUUUUUGCAUGUACCUUAUGAAUAAGGACCGGCUAAUUCCGUGCCAGCAGCCGCGGUAAUACGGAAGGUCCGGGCGUUAUCCGGAUUUAUUGGGUUUAAAGGGAGCGUAGGCCGGAGAUUAAGCGUGUUGUGAAAUGUAGAUGCUCAACAUCUGCACUGCAGCGCGAACUGGUUUCCUUGAGUACGCACAAAGUGGGCGGAAUUCGUGGUGUAGCGGUGAAAUGCUUAGAUAUCACGAAGAACUCCGAUUGCGAAGGCAGCUCACUGGAGCGCAACUGACGCUGAAGCUCGAAAGUGCGGGUAUCGAACAGGAUUAGAUACCCUGGUAGUCCGCACGGUAAACGAUGGAUGCCCGCUGUUGGUCUGAAUAGGUCAGCGGCCAAGCGAAAGCAUUAAGCAUCCCACCGGGGA